Pteropus alecto (black flying fox) is the source of this 408-nucleotide long non-coding RNA. RefSeq lists it as uncharacterized. NCBI's taxonomy places the organism in Eukaryota, Metazoa, Chordata, Mammalia, Chiroptera, Pteropodidae. The record is from RefSeq and is a predicted model, not a curated record. The transcript is spliced from 3 exons.
AUCUAACAGCAUCUUUACACUUGCUGUUAUCUCUGCUUGAAUGUUUCUCCCUUAUAUAUCACUUGACAUAUUCCCUCACCUUUUUCAGUUUUCACCACCGGAUAUUCUAUCAAUUUAUUGCAUCUCUUUCCCACAAGAAAAUAAAUCUCCAUGCAGGUGUCUGAACCAAGAAGGCCUAAAUCUAUUAUAGAGACUGCAAGAAGAUCCUGAAUUUCAAGCCUGGUGUCAUUCAUUUUGUGUGAAUAAAAGAGGUAAGCAACUGUUUGUGACCAGAAGGGUGGAUUGUGUCAGACUGAAUUGUUUAGACAAAGAAAACAUGUAUUGCCUUCUUUUAAGACAUUGGGCUUGACCAUGUGACUUGCUUUGGCCAGUGGUUUAUGAGUCAAUGUUACUUAUGCCACUACUUGU